Bactrocera dorsalis (oriental fruit fly) is the source of this 233-nucleotide long non-coding RNA. RefSeq lists it as uncharacterized. The transcript is spliced from 2 exons. The record is from RefSeq and is a predicted model, not a curated record. Lineage: Eukaryota; Metazoa; Arthropoda; Insecta; Diptera; Tephritidae.
CUCAAGUCACUUAAGUUUAACAUUCCACUUGCAGUUCUCACACUUGUAAUAACUCAAAACAAAAGCACUACCAAAAUGAUGAAAUUGGUAAGUUUGUUGCUUCUCGUUAUUGCCGCUCUCUUCGCUGUGGCUAUGGCUGUACCCGCGCCAGUGGCUGGUCCCAACCCUGAGCCCAACCCACAGUUCGUGUAUGGUGCUUACCCAUAUGCGUCAUACGCAUCAUACCCAUAUGU